UGCAAGUCGAGCGGUAGAGAGAAGCUUGCUUCUCUGAGAGCGGCGGACGGGUGAGUAAUGCCUAGGAAUCUGCCUGGUAGUGGGGGAUAACGUCCGGAAACGGACGCUAAUACCGCAUACGUCCUACGGGAGAAAGCAGGGGACCUUCGGGCCUUGCGCUAUCAGAUGAGCCUAGGUCGGAUUAGCUAGUUGGUGGGGUAAUGGCUCACCAAGGCGACGAUCCGUAACUGGUCUGAGAGGAUGAUCAGUCACACUGGAACUGAGACACGGUCCAGACUCCUACGGGAGGCAGCAGUGGGGAAUAUUGGACAAUGGGCGAAAGCCUGACCCAGCCAUGCCGCGUGUGUGAAGAAGGUCUUCGGAUUGUAAAGCACUUUAAGUUGGGAGGAAGGGCAGUUACCUAAUACGUGAUUGUUUUGACGUUACCGACAGAAUAAGCACCGGCUAACUCUGUGCCAGCAGCCGCGGUAAUACAGAGGGUGCAAGCGUUAAUCGGAAUUACUGGGCGUAAAGCGCGCGUAGGUGGUUCGUUAAGUUGGAUGUGAAAUCCCCGGGCUCAACCUGGGAACUGCAUUCAAAACUGACGAGCUAGAGUAUGGUAGAGGGUGGUGGAAUUUCCUGUGUAGCGGUGAAAUGCGUAGAUAUAGGAAGGAACACCAGUGGCGAAGGCGACCACCUGGACUGAUACUGACACUGAGGUGCGAAAGCGUGGGGAGCAAAC
Molecule: ribosomal RNA, 721 nt
Filed under: uncultured bacterium
Lineage: Bacteria
Description: bacterial SSU rRNA
Rfam family: Bacterial small subunit ribosomal RNA
Source: RNAcentral